RNAcentral lists this unclassified non-coding RNA (298 nucleotides) under Hevea brasiliensis (rubber tree). The record is from RNAcentral. Lineage: Eukaryota; Viridiplantae; Streptophyta; Magnoliopsida; Malpighiales; Euphorbiaceae.
UGCCCAAAAAACAAUUAGAGAAGCGCACAGUUUCACCUCUUCGUUUUCCAUUAUUGCGUUCUGGGUCCGUGUCAAGUAGGUCAACAACCCCAACUAGCAGUAGGCCUACCACUCCAAGUUCGGCAGCUGCUGCAAGAAGACGGUAUCCUUCGGAGCCUCGAAAAUCAGCUUCAAUGCGUAUCCAAGCUGAAACAGAAAAUUCUAAAGACAUUGAGCAAUACCCCAGCAAAAGUAAACGUCUUCUCAAGGCCUUGCUAAGCCGGCGCAAAUCCAAGAAAGAUGAUAUGCUGUAUACUUA